RNAcentral lists this ribosomal RNA (1908 nucleotides) under Proboscia alata. Its description in RNAcentral is "partial Bacterial large subunit ribosomal RNA". It matches the Rfam family "Bacterial large subunit ribosomal RNA", at positions 26 to 1971 of the family's 2925-position model. Lineage: Eukaryota; Bacillariophyta; Melosirophyceae; Probosciales; Probosciaceae. The record is from RNAcentral.
GGAUGCCUUGGCAGCCAGAGGCGAUGAAGGACGUUGUAGCCUGCGAUAAGCUCCGGUUAGGUGGCAAACAACCGUUUGACCCGGAGAUUUCCGAAUGGGGGAACCCACCCGUUGUAAGACGGGUAUCACCGACUGAAUCCAUAGGUCGGUGAGGCGAACGCGGGGAACUGAAACAUCUAAGUACCCGUAGGAACAGAAAUCAAUUGAGAUUCCCUGAGUAGCGGCGAGCGAACGGGGAUUAGCCCUUAAGCUGAUGAUUGAUUAGGAGAACGGUCUGGGAAGGCCGACCAUAGUGGGUGAUAGUCCCGUAUCCGAAAAUCUGAUUCAGUGAAAACGAGUAGGUCGGGGCACGUGUAACCUUGACUGAACAUGGGGGGACCAUCCUCCAAGGCUAAAUACUCCUGGCUGACCGAUAGUGAACCAGUACCGUGAGGGAAAGGCGAAAAGAACCCCGGAGAGGGGAGUGAAAUAGAUCCUGAAACCGUGCACGUACAAGCAGUCGGAGCCCGCUUUGUUGGGUGACGGCGUACCUUUUGUAUAAUGGGUCAGCGACUUAUUCUCAGUAGCGAGGUUAACCAUCUAGGGGAGCCGUAGGGAAACCGAGUCUGAAUAGGGCGUUUAGUUGCUGGGAAUAGACCCGAAACCGGACGAUCUACCCAUGGGCAGGUUGAAGGUGCGGUAACACGCACUGGAGGACCGAACCGGGAUCUGUUGAAAAAGAUUCGGAUGACCUGUGGGUCGGAGUGAAAGGCUAAUCAAGUCCGGAGAUAGCUGGUUCUCCCCGAAAGCUAUUUAGGUAGCGCCUCGUAUAUCACCACCGGGGGUAGAGCACUGUUUCGGCUAGGGGCCCAUCCCGGGUUACCAAACCGAUGCAAACUCCGAAUACCGGUGAGUGCAGUACGGGAGACACACGGCGGGUGCUAACGUCCGUCGUGAAGAGGGAAACAACCCAGACCGCCAGCUAAGGUCCCCAAAUUCCAGUUAAGUGGGAAACGAUGUGGGAAGGCUUAGACAGCUAGGAGGUUGGCUUAGAAGCAGCCACCCUUUAAAGAAAGCGUAAUAGCUCACUAGUCGAGUCGGCCUGCGCGGAAGAUGUAACGGGGCUCAAACUGGAUACCGAAGCUGCGGCAAUGUGCUUAGGCAUAUUGGGUAGGGGAGCGUUGUGUAAGUCUGUGAAGGUGUGUUGAGAAGCAUGCUGGAGAUAUCACAAGUGCGAAUGCUGACGUGAGUAACGAUAAUGCGGGUGAAAAACCUGCACGCCGAAAGACCAAGGUUUCCUGCGCAACGCUAAUCGGCGCAGGGUGAGUCGGCCCCUAAGGUGAGGCUGAAAGGCGUAACUGAUGGGAAACGGGUUAAUAUUCCCGUACUUCUUGUAACUGCGAUGGAGAGACGGAGAAGGCUAGGCCUACCGGGCGUUGGUUGUCCCGGGGAAAGACCGUAGGCUGGGAUCUUAGGCAAAUCCGGGAUCCUAAGGCUGAGAGUCGAGACCACCGGCCCUUUGCGGCUGGGAAGUGGUUGAUGCCCUGCUUCCAGGAAAAUCUUCUAAGCUUCAGGUUACAAGGAACCGUACCCCAAACCGACACAGGUGGUUGGGAUGAGUAUUCUAAGGCGCUUGAGAGAACUCGGGUGAAGGAACUAGGCAAAGUGGUACCGUAACUUCGGGAGAAGGUACGCCACUUGGUGUGAAGGGCUUGCCCCGUAAGCACUGAGUGGUCGCAGUGAAAAGGCCCCUGCAACUGUUUAUUAAAAACACAGCACUCUGCAAACGCGUAAGCGGACGUAUAGGGUGUGACGCCUGCCCGGUGCCGGAAGGUUAAUUGAUGGGGUUAGCUUCGGCGAAGCUCUUGAUCGAAGCCCCGGUAAACGGCGGCCGUAACUAUAACGGUCCUAAGGUAGCGAAAUUCCUUG